UCUUCAGUGGGGUUAAUCCUUACUUGUUCCUCCUUAGGGAGAAACAGUACAUGAUGAAUGGAGGAGGCUGAUGUGUGAUUACAGCAAUUCCUUGGGAGGUGAUAGUCUGAU
Molecule: small nucleolar RNA, 111 nt
Organism: Pelobates fuscus (common spadefoot toad)
Lineage: Eukaryota; Metazoa; Chordata; Amphibia; Anura; Pelobatidae
Product: U8 small nucleolar RNA
Exons: 1
Source: RefSeq, a predicted model, not a curated record